This 1365-nucleotide ribosomal RNA is filed under the name uncultured bacterium. RNAcentral describes it as "bacterial SSU rRNA". It matches the Rfam family "Bacterial small subunit ribosomal RNA", at positions 28 to 1381 of the family's 1533-position model. The record is from RNAcentral.
GAUUAACGCUGGCGGCGUGCCUAACACAUGCAAGUCGAGCGGCAGCGAGUUUUACACUGAAUUCUGGAAGCUUCUGGUUUGAAGAGAAGAUUUAUUCAAGAAUUUUGUGUAAAAUGUCGGCGAGCGGCGGACGGCUGAGUAACGCGUGGGAACGUACCCCAAAGUGAGGGAUAACGCAUCGAAAGGUGUGCUAAUACCGCAUAUGGUCUUCGGAUUAAAGCCUUCGGGCGCUUUGGGAACGGCCUGCGUAAGAUUAGAUAGUUGGUGGGGUAAUGGCCUACCAAGUCGACGAUCUUUAACUGGUUUGAGAGGAUGAUCAGUCAGACUGGAACUGAGACACGGUCCAGACUCCUACGGGAGGCAGCAGUGAGGAAUCUUCCACAAUGGGCGAAAGCCUGAUGGAGCAACGCCGCGUGCAGGAUGACGGCCUUCGGGUUGUAAACUGCUUUUAUAAGCGAGGAUUAUGACAGUAACUUAUGAAUAAGGAUCGGCUAACUACGUGCCAGCAGCCGCGGUCAUACGUAGGAUCCGAGCGUUAUCCGGAGUGACUGGGCGUAAAGAGUUGCGUAGGUGGUUCGAUAAGCGAAUAGUGAAAUCUGGUGGCUCAACCAUUCAGACUAUUAUUCGAACUGUUGAACUCGAGAGCAGAAGAGGUAGCUGGAAUUUCUAGUGUAGGAGUGAAAUCCGUAGAUAUUAGAAGGAACACCGAUGGCGUAGGCAGGCUACUGGGCUGUUUCUGACACUGAGGCACGAAAGCGUGGGGAGCGAACCGGAUUAGAUACCCGGGUAGUCCACGCCGUAAACGAUGGAUACUAGCUGUUUGGGGUAUCGACCCCCUGAGUAGCGAAGCUAACGCGUUAAGUAUCCCGCCUGUGGAGUACGAUCGCAAGAUUAAAACAUAAAGGAAUUGACGGGGACCCGCACAAGCGGUGGAUCAUGUUCUUUAAUUCGAUGAUAACCGAUAAACCUUACCAGGUCUUGACAUCCUUGGAAUCUUUCAGAAAUGAGAGAGUGCUUUUUAAGAGCCAAGUGACAGGUGAUGCAUGGCCGUCGUCAGCUCGUGUCGUGAGAUGUUUGGUUAAGUCCAUCAACGAGCGCAACCCUUGUCAGUAGUUGUAUUUUUCUACUGAGACUGCCCCGGCAACGGGGAGGAAGGAGGGGAUGACGUCAGGUCAGUAUUUCCCUUACGUCCUGGGCUAGAAACGUGAUACAAUGGCUAGUACAAUGCGCAGCGAAGCCGCGAGGUGAAGCAAAUCGCAUCAAAGCUAGUCCCAGUUCGGAUUGUAGGCUGAAACUCGCCUGCAUGAAGUCGGAAUCGCUAGUAAUCGCAGAUCAGCAUGCUGCGGUGAAUACGUUCCCGGGUCU